RNAcentral lists this ribosomal RNA (333 nucleotides) under uncultured bacterium. Its description in RNAcentral is "bacterial SSU rRNA". It matches the Rfam family "Bacterial small subunit ribosomal RNA", at positions 568 to 898 of the family's 1533-position model. The record is from RNAcentral.
CGUGUAGGUGGCUAAUUAAGUCAGGUGUGAAAUCCUUCCGCUUAACGGGAGAAGUGACACUUGAAACUGCUUAGCUAGAGUACGGGAGAGGAAGGUGGAAUUCCUGGUGUAGAGGUGAAAUUCAUAGAUAUCGGGAAGAACACCGGUGGCGAAGGCGGCCUUCUGGCCCGAUACUGACGCUGAGACGCGAAAGCGUGGGGAGCAAACAGGAUUAGAUACCCUGGUAGUCCACGCCGUAAACGUUGGGCACUAGGUGUGGAAGGUUUUUAUUCCUUCUUUGCCGAAGCUAACGCAUUAAGUGCCCCGCCUGGGGAGUACGGUCGCAAGGCUAAA